Molecule: ribosomal RNA, 493 nt
Filed under: uncultured bacterium
Lineage: Bacteria
Description: bacterial SSU rRNA
Rfam family: Bacterial small subunit ribosomal RNA
Source: RNAcentral
AUUGAACGCUGGCGGCAGGCCUAACACAUGCAAGUCGAGCGGAUGAGUGGGGCUUGCUCCAUGAUUCAGCGGCGGACGGGUGAGUAAUGCCUAGGAAUCUGCCUGGUAGUGGGGGACAACGUUUCGAAAGGAACGCUAAUACCGCAUACGUCCUACGGGAGAAAGUGGGGGAUCUUCGGACCUCACGCUAUCAGAUGAGCCUAGGUCGGAUUAGCUAGUUGGUGAGGUAAAGGCUCACCAAGGCGACGAUCCGUAACUGGUCUGAGAGGAUGAUCAGUCACACUGGAACUGAGACACGGUCCAGACUCCUACGGGAGGCAGCAGUAGGGAAUUUUCGGCAAUGGGGGAAACCCUGACCGAGCAAUGCCGCGUGAACGAUGAAGGUCUUCGGAUUGUAAAGCUCUUUCGGACGGAAAGAAAUCGCCGCCUCUAACAUAGGCGGUGGAUGACGGUACCGUAAGAAGAAGCACCGGCUAACUACGUGCCAGCAGCC